CGCGCAGGUGGCUUAUCAAGUCUGGUGUGAAAGCCCAGGGCUCAACCCUGGAACUGCAUUGGAAACUGGUAAGCUUGAGUCCGAGAGGGGCCUGUGGAAUUCCUGGUGUAGGGGUGAAAUCCGUAGAGAUCAGGAGGAACACCGGUAGCGAAGGCGACAGGCUGGAUCGGCACUGACACUGAGGCGCGAAAGUGUGGGGAGCGAACA
This 207-nucleotide ribosomal RNA is filed under the name uncultured bacterium. RNAcentral describes it as "partial 16S ribosomal RNA". It matches the Rfam family "Bacterial small subunit ribosomal RNA", at positions 568 to 774 of the family's 1533-position model. The record is from RNAcentral.